This 253-nucleotide ribosomal RNA is filed under the name uncultured bacterium. RNAcentral's name for it is "partial 16S ribosomal RNA". It matches the Rfam family "Bacterial small subunit ribosomal RNA", at positions 524 to 776 of the family's 1533-position model. The record is from RNAcentral.
UACGAGGGGGGCGAGCGUUGUUCGGAUUUACUGGGCGUAAAGGGCGCGCAGGCGGCUUAUUUUGUCAGGCGUGAAAGCCCCGGGCUCAACCUGGGAACUGCGUUUGAUACGGAUGGGCUAGAGUUCGGGAGAGGAGAGUGGAAUUCCCAGUGUAGAGGUGAAAUUCGUAGAUAUUGGGAAGAACACCGGUGGCGAAGGCGGCUAUCUGGACCGACAUUGACGCUGAGGCGCGAAAGCGUGGGGAGCAAACAGG